Molecule: ribosomal RNA, 468 nt
Filed under: uncultured bacterium
Lineage: Bacteria
Description: partial 16S ribosomal RNA
Rfam family: Bacterial small subunit ribosomal RNA
Source: RNAcentral
GACGAACGCUGGCGGCGUGCUUAACACAUGCAAGUCGAACGGAAAGGCCCUGCUUUUGUGGGGUGCUCGAGUGGCGAACGGGUGAGUAACACGUGAGUAACCUGCCCUUGACUUUGGGAUAACUUCAGGAAACUGGGGCUAAUACCGGAUAGGAGCUCCUGCUGCAUGGUGGGGGUUGGAAAGUUUCGGCGGUUGGGGAUGGACUCGCGGCUUAUCAGCUUGUUGGUGGGGUAGUGGCUUACCAAGGCUUUGACGGGUAGCCGGCCUGAGAGGGUGACCGGCCACAUUGGGACUGAGAUACGGCCCAGACUCCUACGGGAGGAAGCAGUGGGGAAUAUUGCACAAUGGGCGGAAGCCUGAUGCAGCAAUGCCGCGUGCGGGAUGACGGCCUUCGGGUUGUAAACCGCUUUCGCCUGUGACGAAGCGUGAGUGACGGUAAUGGGUAAAGAAGCACCGGCUAACUACGUG